ACAACGGAGAGUUUGAUCCUGGCUCAGGAUGAACGCUAGCGGCAGGCUUAACACAUGCAAGUCGAACGGUAACAUUUCUUGCUUGCAAGAAGAUGACGAGUGGCGCACGGGUGCGUAACGCGUAUACAACCUGCCUUCAACAAAGGGAUAGCCCAUGGAAACGUGGAUUAAUACCUUAUAAUAUAUAGAGAUGGCAUCAUCAUUAUAUCAAAGAUUUAUCGGUUGAAGAGGGGUAUGCGUGACAUUAGCUAGUUGGUAAGGUAACGGCUUACCAAGGCAACGAUGUCUAGGGGUUCUGAGAGGAUGAUCCCCCACACUGGUACUGAGACACGGACCAGACUCCUACGGGAGGCAGCAGUGAGGAAUAUUGCGCAAUGGAGGGAACUCUGACGCAGCCAUGCCGCGUGAAGGAAUGAAUGCCCUAUGGGUUGUAAACUUCUUUUAUGUAGGAAGAAACGCAGAUACGUGUAUCUGUUUGACGGUACUACACGAAUAAGGACCGGCUAACUCCGUGCCAGCAGCCGCGGUAAUACGGAGGGUCCAAGCGUUAUCCGGAUUCAUUGGGUUUAAAGGGUACGUAGGCGGAUAAAUAAGUCAGUGGUGAAAGCCCGAAGCUCAACUUCGGAACUGCCAUUGAUACUGUUUAUCUUGAAUUUGGUUGAAGUGGGCGGAAUAUGACAUGUAGCGGUGAAAUGCAUAGAUAUGUCAUGGAACACCAAUAGUGAAGACAGCUCACUAAGCCAAUAUUGACGCUGAGGUACGAAAGCAUGGGUAGCGAACAGGAUUAGAUACCCUGGUAGUCCAUGCCGUAAACGAUGAUUACUAGCUAUUAGCGAUAAACUGUUAGUGGCAAAGCGAAAGCAUUAAGUAAUCCACCUGGGAAGUACGGUCGCAAGAUUGAAACUCAAAGGAAUUGACGGGGGCCCGCACAAGCGGUGGAGCAUGUGGUUUAAUUCGAUGAUACGCGAGGAACCUUACCAGGGCUUAAAUGAAGAUUGACAGGACUGGAAACAGUUUUUUCUUCGGACAAUUUUCAAGGUGCUGCAUGGUUGUCGUCAGCUCGUGCUGUGAAGUGUCGGGUUAAGUCCCAUAACGAGCGCAACCCCUAUCUUUAGUUGCCAGCGAGUAAUGUCGGGGACUCUAGAGAAACUGCCCGUGCAAACGGAGAGGAAGGUGGGGAUGACGUCAAAUCAUCACGGCCCUUACGUCCUGGGCUACACACGUGCUACAAUGGCAGGUACAGAGGGCAGCUACUCCGCGAGGAGAUGCGAAUCUCAAAAGCCUGUCUCAGUUCGGAUUGGAGUCUGCAACUCGACUCCAUGAAGCUGGAAUCGCUAGUAAUCGCGCAUCAGCCAUGGCGCGGUGAAUACGUUCCCGGGCCUUGUACACACCGCCCGUCAAGCCAUGGAAGCUGGGGGUGCCUGAAGUCGGUGACCGCAAGGAGCUGCCUAGGGUAAAACUAGUAACUGGGGCUAAGUCGUAACAAGGUAGCCGUACCGGAAGGUGUGGCUGGAACACCUCCUUU
This 1525-nucleotide ribosomal RNA is filed under the name bacterium SCSIO 12643. RNAcentral describes it as "bacterial SSU rRNA". It matches the Rfam family "Bacterial small subunit ribosomal RNA". The record is from RNAcentral.